GGGAAACUUCUGAUAAUACUGGAUAAGUUAGUAUAUCGCAUGAAUAUGCAAAUGAAAGCUACGGCACUAAAGGAGAGCUUUGCGUCCUAUUAGCUAGUUGGUAAGGUAAGAGCUUACCAAGGCGAUGAUAGGUAGCCGGCCUGAGAGGGUGGACGGCCACAAGGGGACUGAGAUACGGCCCUUACUCCUGCGGGAGGCAGCAGGU
Molecule: ribosomal RNA, 205 nt
Filed under: uncultured Leptotrichia sp.
Lineage: Bacteria; Fusobacteriati; Fusobacteriota; Fusobacteriia; Fusobacteriales; Leptotrichiaceae
Description: partial 16S ribosomal RNA
Rfam family: Bacterial small subunit ribosomal RNA
Source: RNAcentral